This 294-nucleotide unclassified non-coding RNA is filed under the name uncultured fungus. Its description in RNAcentral is "sequence contains ITS1". Lineage: Eukaryota; Fungi. The record is from RNAcentral.
GAGGACUACUAGGGUUUCUAAUCCCGUUUGCUACCUUGGCUUUCGUGCCUCAGCGUCAGAAAAGACCCAGUAAGCCGCCUUCGCCACCGGUGUUCCUCAAGAUAUCAACGCAUUUCACCGCUCCACCUUGAGUUCCGCUUACCUCUGUCUCCCUCUAGCACGGUAGUUUUGAGUGCAAUUCCUCAGUUGAGCUGAGGGCUUUCACACCCAACUUACCGCACAGCCUACGCACCCUUUAAGCCCAGUAAUUCCGAAUAACGUUCGUACGGUUCGUCUUACCGCGGCUGCUGGCAC